AUUGAACGCUGGCGGCAGGCCUAACACAUGCAAGUCGAGCGAGCGGCGGACGGGUGAGUAAUGUCUGGGCAACUGCCUGCUGGAGGGGGAUAACUACUGGAACCGGUAGCUAAUCCCGCAUACCAUCAGAGGUGCCCAGCUGGGAUUAGCUAGUAGGUGGGGUAACGGCUCACCUAGGCGACGAUCCCUAGCUGGUCUGAGUGGAUGAUCAGCCACACGGGAGCUGAGACACGGUCCAUGGUCCUAGGAGAGGCAGCAGUGGGGAAUAUUGCACAAUGGGCGCAAGCAUGAUGCAGCUGUGCCACGUGUAUGAAGAAGGCCUUCGGGGUGUAAAGUACUUUCAGCGGGGAGGCGUUACCCGCAGAAGAAGCACCGGCUAACGCCGUGCCAGCAGCCGCGGUAAUUC
RNAcentral lists this ribosomal RNA (406 nucleotides) under uncultured bacterium. RNAcentral's name for it is "partial 16S ribosomal RNA". It matches the Rfam family "Bacterial small subunit ribosomal RNA", at positions 30 to 526 of the family's 1533-position model. The record is from RNAcentral.